Molecule: microRNA, 22 nt
Filed under: Cunninghamia lanceolata
Lineage: Eukaryota; Viridiplantae; Streptophyta; Pinopsida; Cupressales; Cupressaceae
Description: cln-miR6725
Source: miRBase by way of RNAcentral
UGGCAUCUGUCGAGGUCAUCUA